This 801-nucleotide ribosomal RNA is filed under the name Pseudarthrobacter polychromogenes. Its description in RNAcentral is "bacterial SSU rRNA". It matches the Rfam family "Bacterial small subunit ribosomal RNA", at positions 566 to 1371 of the family's 1533-position model. Lineage: Bacteria; Bacillati; Actinomycetota; Actinomycetes; Micrococcales; Micrococcaceae. The record is from RNAcentral.
AGCUGUAGGCGGUUGUCGCGUUGCGUGAAGUCGGGGCUCACUCCGGAUUGCGGUGGGUACGGGACUAGAGUGAUGUAGGGGAGACUGGAAUUCCUGGUGUAGCCGGUGAAAAUGCGCAGAUAUCAGGAGGAACACCGAUGGCGAAAGGCAGGUCUUGGGCAUUAACUGACGCUUGAGGAGCGAAAGCAUGGGGAGCGAACCAGGAUUAGAUACCCUGGUAGUCCAUGCCGUAACGUUGGGCACUAGGUGUGGGGGACAUUCCACGUUUUCCGCGCCGUAGCUAACGCAUUAAGUGCCCCGCCUGGGGAGUACGGCCGCAAGGCUAAAACUCAAAGGAAUUGACGGGGGCCCGCACAAGCGGCGGAGCAUGCGGAUUAAUUUGAUGCAACGCGAAGAACCUUACCAAGGCUUGACAUGAACCGGUAAUACCUGGAGACAGGUGCCCCGCUUGCGGUCGGUUUACAGGUGGUGCAUGAGUUGUCGUCAGCUCGUGUCGUGAGAUGUUGGGUUAAGUCCCGCAACGAGCGCAACCCUCGUUCUAUGUUGCCAGCACGUGAUGGUGGGGACUUAUAGGAGACUGCCGGGGUCAACUCGGAGGAAGGUGGGGACGACGUCAAAUCAUCAUGCCCCUUAUGUCUUGGGCUUCACGCAUGCUACAAUGGCCGGUACAAAGGGUUGCGAUACUGUGAGGUGGAGCUAAUCCCAAAAAGCCGGUCUCAGUUCGGAUUGGGGUCUGCAACUCGACCCCAUGAAGUCGGAGUCGCUAGUAAUCGCAGAUCAGCAACGCUGCGGUGAAUACGU